UUAAGCGACUAAGCGUACACGGUGGAUGCCCUGGCAGUCAGAGGCGAUGAAGGACGUGCUAAUCUGCGAUAAGCGUCGGUAAGGUGAUAUGAACCGUUAUAACCGGCGAUUUCCGAAUGGGGAAACCCAGUGUGUUUCGACACACUAUCAUUAACUGAAUCCAUAGGUUAAUGAGGCGAACCGGGGGAACUGAAACAUCUAAGUACCCCGAGGAAAAGAAAUCAACCGAGAUUCCCCCAGUAGCGGCGAGCGAACGGGGAGGAGCCCAGAGCCUGAAUCAGUGUGUGUGUUAGUGGAAGCGUCUGGAAAGGCGCGCGAUACAGGGUGACAGCCCCGUACACAAAAAUGCACAUGCUGUGAGCUCGAUGAGUAGGGCGGGACACGUGGUAUCCUGUCUGAAUAUGGGGGGACCAUCCUCCAAGGCUAAAUACUCCUGACUGACCGAUAGUGAACCAGUACCGUGAGGGAAAGGCGAAAAGAACCCCGGCGAGGGGAGUGAAAAAGAACCUGAAACCGUGUACGUACAAGCAGUGGGAGCCUCUUAAUGGGGUGACUGCGUACCUUUUGUAUAAUGGGUCAGCGACUUAUAUUCUGUAGCAAGGUUAACCGAAUAGGGGAGCCGAAGGGAAACCGAGUCUUAACUGGGCGUUAAGUUGCAGGGUAUAGACCCGAAACCCGGUGAUCUAGCCAUGGGCAGGUUGAAGGUUGGGUAACACUAACUGGAGGACCGAACCGACUAAUGUUGAAAAAUUAGCGGAUGACUUGUGGCUGGGGGUGAAAGGCCAAUCAAACCGGGAGAUAGCUGGUUCUCCCCGAAAGCUAUUUAGGUAGCGCCUCGUGAAUUCAUCUCCGGGGGUAGAGCACUGUUUCGGCAAGGGGGUCAUCCCGACUUACCAACCCGAUGCAAACUGCGAAUACCGGAGAAUGUUAUCACGGGAGACACACGGCGGGUGCUAACGUCCGUCGUGAAGAGGGAAACAACCCAGACCGCCAGCUAAGGUCCCAAAGUCAUGGUUAAGUGGGAAACGAUGUGGGAAGGCCCAGACAGCCAGGAUGUUGGCUUAGAAGCAGCCAUCAUUUAAAGAAAGCGUAAUAGCUCACUGGUCGAGUCGGCCUGCGCGGAAGAUGUAACGGGGCUAAACCAUGCACCGAAGCUGCGGCAGCGACACUAUGUGUUGUUGGGUAGGGGAGCGUUCUGUAAGCCUGUGAAGGUGGCCUGUGAGGGUUGCUGGAGGUAUCAGAAGUGCGAAUGCUGACAUAAGUAACGAUAAAGCGGGUGAAAAGCCCGCUCGCCGGAAGACCAAGGGUUCCUGUCCAACGUUAAUCGGGGCAGGGUGAGUCGACCCCUAAGGCGAGGCCGAAAGGCGUAGUCGAUGGGAAACAGGUUAAUAUUCCUGUACUUGGUGUUACUGCGAAGGGGGGACGGAGAAGGCUAUGUUGGCCGGGCGACGGUUGUCCCGGUUUAAGCGUGUAGGCUGGUUUUCCAGGCAAAUCCGGAAAACCAAGGCUGAGGCGUGAUGACGAGGCACUACGGUGCUGAAGUGACAAAUGCCCUGCUUCCAGGAAAAGCCUCUAAGCAUCAGGUAACAUCAAAUCGUACCCCAAACCGACACAGGUGGUCAGGUAGAGAAUACCAAGGCGCUUGAGAGAACUCGGGUGAAGGAACUAGGCAAAAUGGUGCCGUAACUUCGGGAGAAGGCACGCUGAUAUGUAGGUGAAGCGACUUGCUCGUGGAGCUGAAAUCAGUCGAAGAUACCAGCUGGCUGCAACUGUUUAUUAAAAACACAGCACUGUGCAAACACGAAAGUGGACGUAUACGGUGUGACGCCUGCCCGGUGCCGGAAGGUUAAUUGAUGGGGUUAGCGGUAACGCGAAGCUCUUGAUCGAAGCCCCGGUAAACGGCGGCCGUAACUAUAACGGUCCUAAGGUAGCGAAAUUCCUUGUCGGGUAAGUUCCGACCUGCACGAAUGGCGUAAUGAUGGCCAGGCUGUCUCCACCCGAGACUCAGUGAAAUUGAACUCGCUGUGAAGAUGCAGUGUACCCGCGGCAAGACGGAAAGACCCCGUGAACCUUUACUAUAGCUUGACACUGAACAUUGAGCCUUGAUGUGUAGGAUAGGUGGGAGGCUUUGAAGUGUGGACGCCAGUCUGCAUGGAGCCGACCUUGAAAUACCACCCUUUAAUGUUUGAUGUUCUAACGUUGGCCCCUAAUCGGGGUUGCGGACAGUGUCUGGUGGGUAGUUUGACUGGGGCGGUCUCCUCCUAAAGAGUAACGGAGGAGCACGAAGGUUGGCUAAUCCUGGUCGGACAUCAGGAGGUUAGUGCAAUGGCAUAAGCCAGCUUGACUGCGAGCGUGACGGCGCGAGCAGGUGCGAAAGCAGGUCAUAGUGAUCCGGUGGUUCUGAAUGGAAGGGCCAUCGCUCAACGGAUAAAAGGUACUCCGGGGAUAACAGGCUGAUACCGCCCAAGAGUUCAUAUCGACGGCGGUGUUUGGCACCUCGAUGUCGGCUCAUCACAUCCUGGGGCUGAAGUAGGUCCCAAGGGUAUGGCUGUUCGCCAUUUAAAGUGGUACGCGAGCUGGGUUUAGAACGUCGUGAGACAGUUCGGUCCCUAUCUGCCGUGGGCGCUGGAGAACUGAGGGGGGCUGCUCCUAGUACGAGAGGACCGGAGUGGACGUAUCACUGGUGUUCGGGUUGUCAUGCCAAUGGCACUGCCCGGUAGCUAAAUGCGGAAGAGAUAAGUGCUGAAAGCAUCUAAGCACGAAACUUGCCCCGAGAUGAGUUCUCCCUGAGACUUAGAGUCUCCUGAAGGAACGUUGAAGACGACGACGUUGAUAGGCCGGGUGUGUAAGCGCAGCGAUGCGUUGAGCUAACCGGUACUAAUGAACCGUGAGGCUUAACCUU
Molecule: ribosomal RNA, 2902 nt
Filed under: Escherichia coli KTE8
Lineage: Bacteria; Pseudomonadati; Pseudomonadota; Gammaproteobacteria; Enterobacterales; Enterobacteriaceae
Also listed under: 1 other name
Description: bacterial LSU rRNA
Rfam family: Bacterial large subunit ribosomal RNA
Source: RNAcentral